This 416-nucleotide long non-coding RNA is filed under the name Capra hircus (goat). RNAcentral describes it as "lncRNA (ENSCHIG00000007204.1)". The record is from RNAcentral. Lineage: Eukaryota; Metazoa; Chordata; Mammalia; Artiodactyla; Bovidae.
CGCCAAGGCGCUUCAGUCGUGUCCGACUCUGUGCGACCCCAGAGACGGCAGCCCACCAGGCUCCCCCGUCCCUGGGAUUCUCCAGGCAAGAACCCUGGAGUGGGUUGUCAUUUCCUUCUCCAGUGCAUGAAGUGAAAAGUGAAAGUGAAGUCGCUCAGUCUUGUCUGACUCUUAGCGACCCCGUGGACUGCAGCCUACCAACUACAGAGGCGUUAUUCACAAAACAUGGGGGUCUUUGUGAAGCCCACCAGUUAUCUCCAGCUCUGCUGAGUGUCCUGGAAGAUGUGGAGCUGCCAGCGUCUGUCAGUCUGGGUUCCUGGGUUGCUGUGUGAGCAGAUCCUUCCACCCUUCCACAACCCCCCUCGCAUCCUGCAAACAAGAGGGGAAAAUAAACCUUGAGCAUGUUUAACUUCUGA